Molecule: ribosomal RNA, 247 nt
Filed under: uncultured bacterium
Lineage: Bacteria
Description: partial 16S ribosomal RNA
Rfam family: Bacterial small subunit ribosomal RNA
Source: RNAcentral
AUACGUAGGACCCGAGCGUUGUCCGGAUUUACUGGGUAUAAAGGGUGCGUAGGCGGCCUUGUGCGUCAGAGGUGAAAUAUCCGGGCUUAACCCGGAGGGUGCCUUUGAUACGGCAGGGCUUGAGUGCGAGAGAGGAUGAUGGAAUUCCUGGUGUAGCGGUGAAAUGCGUAGAUAUCAGGAGGAACACCGGUGGCGAAGGCGGUCAUCUGGCUCGUAACUGACGCUGAGGCACGAAAGCGCGGGGAUC